This 910-nucleotide ribosomal RNA is filed under the name uncultured bacterium. RNAcentral describes it as "bacterial SSU rRNA". It matches the Rfam family "Bacterial small subunit ribosomal RNA", at positions 33 to 917 of the family's 1533-position model. The record is from RNAcentral.
ACGCUGGCGGCGUGCCUAAUACAUGCAAGUGGGACGCAAGGGAACACACUGUGCUUGCACACCGUGUUUUCUUGAGUCGCGAACGGGUGAGUAACGCGUAGGUAACCUGCCUAUUAGCGGGGGAUAACUAUUGGAAACGAUAGCUAAUACCGCAUAAUAUUAAUUAUUGCAUGAUAAUUGAUUGAAAGAUGCAAGCGCAUCACUAGUAGAUGGACCUGCGUUGUAUUAGCUAGUUGGUAAGGUAAGAGCUUACCAAGGCGACGAUACAUAGCCGACCUGAGAGGGUGAUCGGCCACACUGGGACUGAGACACGGCCCAGACUCCUACGGGAGGCAGCAGUAGGGAAUCUUCGGCAAUGGACGAAAGUCUGACCGAGCAACGCCGCGUGAGUGAAGAAGGUUUUCGGAUCGUAAAGCUCUGUUGUAAGUCAAGAACGUGUGUGAGAGUGGAAAGUUCACACAGUGACGGUAGCUUACCAGAAAGGGACGGCUAACUACGUGCCAGCAGCCGCGGUAAUACGUAGGUCCCGAGCGUUGUCCGGAUUUAUUGGGCGUAAAGGGAGCGCAGGCGGUCAGGAAAGUCUGGAGUAAAAGGCUAUGGCUCAACCAUAGUGUGCUCUGGAAACUGUCUGACUUGAGUGCAGAAGGGGAGAGUGGAAUUCCAUGUGUAGCGGUGAAAUGCGUAGAUAUAUGGAGGAACACCAGUGGCGAAAGCGGCUCUCUGGUCUGUCACUGACGCUGAGGCUCGAAAGCGUGGGUAGCGAACAGGAUUAGAUACCCUGGUAGUCCACGCCGUAAACGAUGAGUGCUAGGUGUUAGGCCCUUUCCGGGGCUUAGUGCCGGAGCUAACGCAAUAAGCACUCCGCCUGGGGAGUACGACCGCAAGGUUGAAACUCAAAGGAAUUGACGGG